RNAcentral lists this long non-coding RNA (478 nucleotides) under Arabidopsis lyrata. RNAcentral describes it as "long non-coding RNA (ALYR_LNC000218)". The record is from RNAcentral. Lineage: Eukaryota; Viridiplantae; Streptophyta; Magnoliopsida; Brassicales; Brassicaceae.
GUUGCGUUUCUCUUUCUUAUACUCAGUCAUACACACCAAUCUUGUCAUAUUGGACUCCAAAAACCCUACACAAGCUUAUUAUGGCUUCCCCAAGUUUUGUAAGGGAGGACGAAGUCCCUAUGAGUGUUCUUGUAUUCCAUCUACGCUACUUUAGCAAUCAGGAUCCGGGUUGCAUUUCUCUUUCUUAUACUCAGUCAUACACACCAAUCUUGUCAUAUUGGACUUCAAGAACCCUACACAAGCUUAUUAUGGCUUCCCCAAGUUUUGUAAGGGAGGACGAAGUCCCUAUGAGUUUUUUUGUAUUCCAUCUACACUACUUUAUCAAUCAGGAUCCGGGUUGCAUUUCUCUUUCUUAUACUCAGUCAUACGCACCAAUCUUAUCAUAUUGGACUCCAAGAACACUAUAGAAGCUUUUUAUGGCUUCCCCAAGUUUUGUAUGGGAGGACGAAGUCCCUAUGCGUGUUUUUGUAUUCCAUCU